GCAGUGGUGGUACAGCAGUAGAACUCUCACUUCCAUGUGAGAAACCUGAGUUUGAUUCCUGGCCAAUGCA
Molecule: transfer RNA, 70 nt
Filed under: Loxodonta africana (African savanna elephant)
Lineage: Eukaryota; Metazoa; Chordata; Mammalia; Proboscidea; Elephantidae
Rfam family: tRNA
About the family: Transfer RNA (tRNA) molecules are approximately 80 nucleotides in length.
Source: Rfam by way of RNAcentral